UCCUCUUAGGUUUUCAACGGCCAUGAUUCAACCUUCCAUAUAUUAUUAUUUUUGUUGGAUAAAUUGAUAUUAAAUUAAUUUUAUUUAAUUAUGAAAAGUUAUAAUAUAAAUUGUAAGGACAAGUACAACUACAUGUCUGAUAAACUACAAUAUUAUGUAGAAUCAACAAAUACGAUACACAACAUGCGGAGAAUUGGACAAAAUCCAAAAAAAAA
Molecule: long non-coding RNA, 215 nt
Filed under: Gossypium raimondii (Peruvian cotton)
Lineage: Eukaryota; Viridiplantae; Streptophyta; Magnoliopsida; Malvales; Malvaceae
Description: long non-coding RNA (GRAI_LNC001720)
Source: RNAcentral